This 718-nucleotide ribosomal RNA is filed under the name uncultured Gammaproteobacteria bacterium. Its description in RNAcentral is "bacterial SSU rRNA". It matches the Rfam family "Bacterial small subunit ribosomal RNA", at positions 57 to 766 of the family's 1533-position model. Lineage: Bacteria; Pseudomonadati; Pseudomonadota; Gammaproteobacteria. The record is from RNAcentral.
GCAGUCGAACGGAAACGAUGGGAGCUUGCUCCCAGGCGUCGAGUGGCGGACGGGUGAGUAACACAUAGGAAUCUGCCCAGUAGCGGGGGACAACUUGUGGAAACUCAAGCUAAUACCGCAUACGCCCUACGGGGGAAAGCAGGGGAUCUUCGGACCUUGCACUAUUGGAUGAGCCUAUGUCAGAUUAGCUUGUUGGUGGGGUAAUGGCCUACCAAGGCGACGAUCUGUAGCUGGUCUGAGAGGACGAUCAGCCACACUGGGACUGAGACACGGCCCAGACUCCUACGGGAGGCAGCAGUGGGGAAUAUUGCACAAUGGGCGAAAGCCUGAUGCAGCAAUGCCGCGUGUGUGAAGAAGGCCUGCGGGUUGUAAAGCACUUUCAGUAGGGAGGAAACAGCAGUGGGCUAAUACCCCAUUGCCUUGACGUUACCUACAGAAGAAGCACCGGCUAACUCUGUGCCAGCAGCCGCGGUAAUACAGAGGGUGCAAGCGUUAAUCGGAAUUACUGGGCGUAAAGCGCGCGUAGGCGGCUUGGUCAGUCGGAUGUGAAAGCCCCGGGCUUAACCUGGGAAUUGCAUUCGAUACUGCCAGGCUAGAAUGUAGUAGAGGGAAGUGGAAUACCGGGUGUAGCGGUGAAAUGCGUAGAUAUCCGGAGGAACAUCAGUGGCGAAGGCGACUUCCUGGACUAACAUUGACGCUGAGGUGCGAAAGCGUGGGG